CUUGUUCGACUACGGUCCAUAGGUAAGUAAAAUGAAUUUAUUUAUAAAAUGAAUUUUGUUUUAAUGCAAGUGAACUAUGGUGGUGUUGGUAAUCAUUCCUGAGGGAAUGGUUUCAUAUAUAUAUAUUUAUGUGAAAUAAAUAUUGGAUGGUGUGAUAUUGGAUGAAGUAUUGAUAUGGUUAAAUGAGUUAUGAUCCGAGCAUUACUCUUGUGAAGAUAUAAAUUAUCUUAUAAGUUGAGUUGAGUAUGAGAAAGAAUAUAAAUUAUCUUAUAAGUUGAGUUGAGUAUG
This 288-nucleotide long non-coding RNA is filed under the name Rosa chinensis. Its description in RNAcentral is "sRNA RchiOBHm_Chr2g0159831". The record is from RNAcentral. Lineage: Eukaryota; Viridiplantae; Streptophyta; Magnoliopsida; Rosales; Rosaceae.